AGCUUUGCGCAGUGGCAGUAUCAUAGCCAAUGAGGUCCAACCGAAGCAUGAUUAUUGCUACUUGGGCUGAAGCAGAAGCGUAGGAUGAAAGCGUAGGAGCUGUGUUCCCAUUAAGGAAGAGCUGCUGGUUUAUUUUUUGUCUGGGGCUCCUUCUGCCUAAUCAUGCUUCACUUCUUUUGCCC
This is a small nuclear RNA of Xenopus tropicalis (tropical clawed frog), 182 nucleotides long. Its record names the gene U4. It matches the Rfam family "U4 spliceosomal RNA". From Rfam's summary of the family: U4 small nuclear RNA (U4 snRNA) is a component of the major U2-dependent spliceosome. The structure of U4 snRNA from yeast and human has been reported. U4 snRNA presents a k-turn RNA motif in the 5p-SL related to recognition of Snu13 protein. The record is from Ensembl. NCBI's taxonomy places the organism in Eukaryota, Metazoa, Chordata, Amphibia, Anura, Pipidae.